RNAcentral lists this ribosomal RNA (379 nucleotides) under uncultured cyanobacterium. RNAcentral describes it as "bacterial SSU rRNA". It matches the Rfam family "Bacterial small subunit ribosomal RNA", at positions 376 to 770 of the family's 1533-position model. The record is from RNAcentral. Lineage: Bacteria; Bacillati; Cyanobacteriota.
CGAAAGCCUGACGGAGCAAUACCGCGUGCGGGAGGAAGGCCCUUGGGUCGUAAACCUCUUUUCUCAGGGAAGAAGAUCUGACGGUACCUGAGGAAUCAGCCUCGGCUAACUCCGUGCCAGCAGCCGCGGUAAUACGGAGGAGGCAAGCGUUAUCCGGAAUGAUUGGGCGUAAAGCGUCCGCAGGUGGCAAUGUAAGUCUGCUGUCAAAACCCAGGGCUCAACUCUGGUCAGGCAGUGGAAACUACAUAGCUAGAGUUCGGUAGGGGCAAAGGGAAUUCCCGGUGUAGCGGUGAAAUGCGUAGAGAUCGGGAAGAACAUCGGUGGCGAAAGCGCUUUGCUAGACCGAAACUGACACUCAGGGACGAAAGCUAGGGGAGCG